ACGCGUCGAAUGUGAACUGCAGGACACAUGAACACCGACACGUUGAACGCAUAUUGCGCAUCGGACGUUUCAACCCGACCGAUGCACACAUCCUUGAGUGCCUACCAAGUUAUCUUCAUACACACAAACCAGACUGACACCCUAUCUUACGAUAGGUUGUGUCGCAUAAUGGCGUGCUCGGACCCGCAUCAGACGGGACCUUGGGCGCUGAAAGUGAGAAAGCUAAUAGAGAAGACAAUGUAUGGUAAGGUACAUGCAGAGAGUGAGAGAUGAACAGACUCGCGACAAGUCGCAACGGUUCGACCUCCAGUAUCAACCCGGGAUGAAACCCCCGCAGCCUAUCAUCAGGCGCUAGCAAAGGGGUCCUAGGUUGGCUCGGGUCGUGUAACACUUGCGGCCCAACGGGUCUGUCUCUAUCGUCUCACAAUACACACGGGAAAUUAGCAUUUCUCUAUGUAGGCCUCAAGUGAUGUGUGACUACCCCCUAAAUUUAAGCAUA
This 499-nucleotide ribosomal RNA is filed under the name Anopheles pulcherrimus. Its description in RNAcentral is "eukaryotic LSU rRNA". The record is from RNAcentral. Lineage: Eukaryota; Metazoa; Arthropoda; Insecta; Diptera; Culicidae.